Molecule: long non-coding RNA, 369 nt
Organism: Arabidopsis thaliana (thale cress)
Lineage: Eukaryota; Viridiplantae; Streptophyta; Magnoliopsida; Brassicales; Brassicaceae
Product: other RNA
Exons: 1
Source: RefSeq
AAAAUCUAGUAAUCUUUCCGAUCAAGAUUCAUUUCCACUCACGUUGAAGAAAGAGUCGCAGAUUUCACGGAAAGAGAGAGCAAGAUUGUAUCCGUGACGGCGGAGGAGACGCGCCGCCGUGGAUUUCUUCUUACGCGGUGGAGGAGAGUACACGUGGAGGAGUACUAUGACGUCACCUUGACGGAGGAGGUUGUGAAGUGCCCAUUGUAACGCCGUCCUCGCCGCUUGUUUAUCUUCUACGACCACCACAAUCCUCCGUACAUCUUCCAUUUAUUUAUUCUCUCUUUCUCUUUCUUUUUCUCGAGAAUUGGGUUUAGGUUUAGUGUCGUAAUUCUUGUGACUCACUCUCUCUCUCUCUCUCAAUAUGUG